Molecule: transfer RNA, 60 nt
Filed under: Candidatus Nomurabacteria bacterium
Lineage: Bacteria; Candidatus Nomuraibacteriota
Description: tRNA-Phe
Source: RNAcentral
GGCCUUGGUUAGAGCACUCGCCUGAAGAGCGAGGUGUCGGCAGUUCGAGUCUGCCCCCGA